This 498-nucleotide ribosomal RNA is filed under the name uncultured bacterium. Its description in RNAcentral is "partial 16S ribosomal RNA". It matches the Rfam family "Bacterial small subunit ribosomal RNA", at positions 28 to 506 of the family's 1533-position model. The record is from RNAcentral.
GACGAACGCUGGCGGCGUGCCUAAUACAUGCAAGUCGAGCGGACCGACCAGGAGCUUGCUCUUGUUCGGUUAGCGGCGGACGGGUGAGUAACACGUGGGUAACCUGCCCGUAAGACCGGGAUAACUCCGGGAAACCGGAUCUAAUACCGGAUAACACCGAAGACCGCAGGGUCCUUGGGUGAAAGGCGGCUUCGGCUGCCACUUACGGAUGGGCCCGCGGCGCAUUAGCUAGUUGGUGAGGUAACGGCUCACCAAGGCGACGAUGCGUAGCCGGCCUGAGAGGGUGACCGGCCACACUGGAACUGAGACACGGCCCAGACUCCUACGGGAGGCAGCAGUAGGGAAUCUUCCGCAAUGGGCGAAAGUCUGACGGAGCGACGCCGCGUGAGUGAAGAAGGUCUUCGGAUCGUAAAGCUCUGUUGUUAGGGAAGAAGAGGCGUCGUUCGAACAGGGCGGCGCGGUGAGGGUACCUAACAAGAAGGCCCCGGCUAACUACGU